UACAGAGGGUGCGAGCGUUGUUCGGAAUUACUGGGCGUAAAGCGCGCGCAGGCGGCUCUUUAAGUCUGACGGUGAAAUGCCGGGGCUCAACCCCGUGCCCGCCGCGGAUACUGGAGAGCUGGAGACACGUAGAGGCAAGCGGAAUUCCGGGUGUAGCGGUGGAAUGCGUAGAGAUCCGGAAGAACACCGGAGGCGAAGGCGGCUUGCUGGGCGUAGUCUGACGCUGAGGCGCGAAAGCGUGGGGAGCGAACAGG
RNAcentral lists this ribosomal RNA (254 nucleotides) under uncultured bacterium. RNAcentral describes it as "partial 16S ribosomal RNA". It matches the Rfam family "Bacterial small subunit ribosomal RNA", at positions 524 to 776 of the family's 1533-position model. The record is from RNAcentral.